This 75-nucleotide antisense RNA is filed under the name Streptomyces sp. AVP053U2. RNAcentral describes it as "ASpks TB sRNA". It matches the Rfam family "ASpks TB sRNA". Lineage: Bacteria; Bacillati; Actinomycetota; Actinomycetes; Kitasatosporales; Streptomycetaceae. The record is from Rfam by way of RNAcentral.
CUUGACGGCGCCGAGGCGCAGCGGCCGGUCGGCGGGCCGGUUUUGGCCGUAGGUGGCGAGGAGGGCCUGGGCCUC